CUCGCUCAGCAGCCUGAGCCCCAAGCCCACCCGGGCAGUAAACAAGAUCCACGCCUUUGGGAAGAGAGGCAAUGCGCUCAGGAGGGAUCCCAACCUUCCCGUGCACAUCCGAGGCUGGCUUCAUAAGCAGGACAGCUCGGGGCUCCGUCUCUGGAAACGCCGCUGGUUCGUCCUCUCCGGCCAUUGCCUCUUUUAUUACAAGGACAGCCGCGAGGAGAGUGUCCUAGGCAGCGUCCUGCUCCCCAGCUACAAUAUUAGACCAGAUGGGCCGGGAGCCCCCCGAGGGCGGCGCUUCACCUUCACCGCAGAGCACCCGGGCAUGAGGACCUACGUUUUGGCCGCUGACACCUUAGAAGACCUGCGGGGCUGGCUACGGGCGCUGGGCCGGGCCUCCCGUGCGGAGGGGGACGACUAUGGGCAACCCAGGUCACCUGCACGACCCCAGCCCGGGGAGGGCCCCGGCGGCCCCGGUGGUCCCCCGGAGGUGAGCAGAGGGGAAGAGGGGCGCAUCUCAGAAUCACCGGAAGUGACUCGACUCUCCAGAGGUCGUGGUAGACCCAGGCUGCUCACUCCCAGCCCCACAACCGACCUCCACUCUGGACUCCAGAUGCGGAGGGCGAGGAGCCCCGACCUGUUCACCCCCCUCUCUCGCCCUCCCUCGCCUCUGAGCCUCCCCCGUCCCCGUUCUGCCCCUGCGCGGCGACCCCCUGCCCCCUCAGGAGACACAGCACCCCCUGCCCGACCUCACACCCCGUUGAGUCGCAUUGA
This 768-nucleotide long non-coding RNA is filed under the name Homo sapiens (human). RNAcentral describes it as "long non-coding RNA NONHSAT180508.1". The record is from RNAcentral. Lineage: Eukaryota; Metazoa; Chordata; Mammalia; Primates; Hominidae.